CUCUUGGAAACAUCAGCCGGCCAUUUGAUGCUGCCUCACGCGGUAUCGUGGACUGGCAUUUGCGGGACACCGCCGUCUUCGUUUCUCUUUCUUCGCGGACACGCUUGAGGCUGCCUGAGCGCACCGUCUUGGUUCGGUAACGGACCGGGGCUAUGGUGCAUGCGGUUUUCGGGCCUGUAGCUCAGGUGGUUAGAGCGCACCCCUGAUAAGGGUGAGGUCGGACGUUCGAGUCGUCCCAGGCCCACCACUGAUCCAGAAGGUUGGGCGUCGAUCUGAAGCUCUCGUUGUGCUGAGCGUGCUCUUAGGGGCCAUAGCUCAGUUGGGAGAGCGCGUGCUUUGCAAGCAUGAGGUCGUCGGUUCGAUCCCGUCUGGCUCCACCAUUUCCCUUGGAUCUUUCUGAGAGACAAGGUCGAGAUGGUCGGUGGUGAAGCGCUUCAAGCGUGAUCUUUGAAACACUCCGGUUUCGAAGAUCUUCUGUCCGCACAAUCUGUUUCGCUGAUCCUCAUGGAGCCCCCAUGUGGGCGAGGAUGAGCGCUGCUGUCUGACAUUGUGAAUCUGGGCGUUUUCGAUUUGCUGGCCGCAAGGCUGGCGGGUCGUGAUGGAAGGCUUGUCCUUCCGGACACGAUCAUCGGGUGCUGACCGCACCGGUGUCGAAAAUGUCGAAGCUGGUCUUUAGCGUCCAGCCCUCUCGCUGAUCCGCCUGGUGCGGAUUGAUGAGAACCUCAGCCGAGGAGUGGGCAUGGACGAUGAGAUCGAUCAAGUGUCUUAAGGGCAUUC
This 777-nucleotide transfer RNA is filed under the name Azorhizobium sp. RNAcentral's name for it is "partial may contain 16S ribosomal RNA, 16S-23S ribosomal RNA intergenic spacer, and 23S ribosomal RNA". The stretch from base 171 to 244 matches the Rfam family "tRNA". The record is from RNAcentral. Lineage: Bacteria; Pseudomonadati; Pseudomonadota; Alphaproteobacteria; Hyphomicrobiales; Xanthobacteraceae.